GCCCUUAUGGCUCAGCGGCAGAGCGUCUGUCUCGUAAACAGAAGGUCCUGAGUUCAAUUCUCAGUGAGGGCA
Molecule: transfer RNA, 72 nt
Organism: Linderina pennispora
Lineage: Eukaryota; Fungi; Kickxellomycota; Kickxellomycetes; Kickxellales; Kickxellaceae
Rfam family: tRNA
About the family: Transfer RNA (tRNA) molecules are approximately 80 nucleotides in length. Their secondary structure includes four short double-helical elements and three loops (D, anti-codon, and T loops). Further hydrogen bonds mediate the characteristic L-shaped molecular structure. tRNAs have two regions of fundamental functional importance: the anti-codon, which is responsible for specific mRNA codon recognition, and the 3' end, to which the tRNAs corresponding amino acid is attached (by aminoacyl-tRNA synthetases). tRNAs cope with the degeneracy of the genetic code in two manners: having more than one tRNA (with a specific anti-codon) for a particular amino acid; and 'wobble' base-pairing, i.e. permitting non-standard base-pairing at the 3rd anti-codon position.
Source: Rfam